AUCAACCACCAAAUGCUGAUAAGUGAACUUGCCCAUCGUGCUUUGAAUCUAGUGAAUGGAUACGUUUUCAAAGGCAAACCAAUAAUCAUCCAGUUUGGGUGGAAUCCUGCUUCUUCAAAAGCAAAUUAAUCGAACAUUUCCGCAUGAUUCAUGAACAGGAGGAAGCUCUUUAUGCUGCCCUGUCAUCGUUGGUUCUAUAUUAACUAUUCAUUCUCAUAUUCCUAAUAAAGCUGGACUUCAAAUCCAUCAAACUUUGGUUUUUUUAAGUUUCUUAGUGAUUGGUGCUCCUUCAUUGACUCAAUUAAUACAUGAAAAAUUUUCUGUU
Mangifera indica (mango) is the source of this 325-nucleotide long non-coding RNA. RefSeq lists it as uncharacterized. The transcript has 2 exons. NCBI's taxonomy places the organism in Eukaryota, Viridiplantae, Streptophyta, Magnoliopsida, Sapindales, Anacardiaceae. The record is from RefSeq and is a predicted model, not a curated record.